UCCAUUUCAACAUGAGAUUUGGAGGGGACAAAUAUUCAAACCCUAUCGGAUAUGAUUUUUAAAUAUUGACAAGUUUAUCUAUUAGGGAUUGGGUUGACUUUAUGUAAUAGAAAACCUAAAUAACACUGGCUUAAAGAAGAUAAAGGUUUUCCUUCCACCAGAAGUCCAGACAGCAUGAUGGCGUCCCUGUCGUAGGGUGGGACGUUCAGUGAAUUUCAUACUGAAUUCUGGUUGCAACAUGGUUGCUUCACCUCCAGCAACAAGUACAUUUUCUAGGCAGGACAAAGAGGGUAGGGAGAGGCACAGGGGUGUCCACCUGCCGAGUUUGACAUUGCCUUCUUGGGAGCACUGCCCAGUGACACCCACUUAUACCUCCUUGGUCUUAGGACAUCAAAAGGCUACUCCCAGCUGCCAGGGAGCCUGGGAAGUGUAGCUUUUUCUUUUUGUUUGUUUGUUUGUUUGCUUAAGAUAGGUGUAUUGCUACUCUAACAAGAGCAGGUUCCGCGGAAGGGGAGGGUGAGAAUGACUAUCAGGUAGUGAACUACAGUCUCUGCCAUAUCAACUUUAUAAAAGCACAAUGUGAUCAAAACAAAACAUGUCUGGGAGCUGCAUGUGGCCUGUAGUUGCCCUUUCAAACCUCAGAUAGAAAGAAUCUCAUGGGAAGACUGAAGCAGUUUUUAUGUUUUGUGCCAUUACUAAGAAAUUAAAGGUUGGACUAAGAUAUGUGAUCCAAGCCUAAACAUUAUGUCCAUUCAAAUUUUAUUUAACAAUAUCCAGGGAACAAGAUAGGCAGGGUCACUGUUCCUCACAGAGCCAAUCAUCUGGUCAGCGAUCAACGGCUGGAGUGAAAAUGUGCUUAUUGUCAACUCUUGUUAUAAAAGGAGCCAUCAUACUUCCUUUUAUUGAAUAGUCCUCUAAACCCUUGAGGUAGGGCCAGAAAGCUAGCGAGGCUGAGUAACCGGCCCAUGGUCACAUUUAUAUAAAGGGGAAGCUUAAAGAGGAUCUUGAAUCCAAGUGAGUCUGAGGCCUGGCCCAUCCCUAUCUGCACCACCCAGCUUCUGCCUCCCUCAUCCUGCAACUUACUGGAAAGCGGUCCUCUGUCCUUUACAUGGAAUAGAUAUGUGUGUUUCACCCCCAUUCCUGGCUCCAGCCAUCUAGCUGACAGACGUAUACAUACCUGUAGUCACAAAAGCACACAGAGGCAGAUGUACUCUUUCAUUUCCCAGUUCAUUUAACCAGAAUGGCCACUGGGACAAGAUUUAUGUAUUGAAAGUCAGGCAAGGCGAUGGCAGAGAAUCAGCUGUCUGUAGAGUUGUUGAAGGUCCCGUCUUUAAUGGGCUGGGACUCGUGUUCCUGUUUGUUAAAGCAAGUCGGUUGGAUGGGUAGCUUGGCAACGCACCUUAUCUAAUGGUCACGACAUCUGUAGACUUUGACGUUGAUUAGUUGGCAGCCACGAAAUGGAUCAGCCCUGCACUGAGAAGACGGGAGCUGUGGCUAUACGACCUAAGAAGUGUGUUUAUUAUACAUACUAUGCUCCUGUUUGUAAUACAACCCUUUUAAAAAGUCACCAUUGGUCUUGCAAUACUCUUCCUAAUGAGUUGUAUUGUUAUGGCAUUACUUUUUGGUUCAAUUAUCUCUUGAAAGUUUGUAUCCAUAUAUAGAAAAAAUUGUUGCCUUAUUGUAAUCACUAGCUCUGGAGUUUCAAUGAAGUCAGGAAGAUAUGCCAAAAAUGAUCUUUCUGCUUCCCUUUGGCAGGAAGGCAUUGUCUUAGGCAGCGUUACUCCUGGGGUGACUCUGCGUUUCUUGAGUCACGUGAGUCAAAUGGUUGCUGACUUUGGCACGUUUAUUGGCCGGGUUUUUUGUGCAAAGCUUCUGAGAUCUGAUGACCUCCACGGUGUCAGGACUGUCUUGUCACCUGUUUUUCGGGGAUCUGCCUGGCCCCUACCCCACAUUCUUUAUUUUCCUGUUAUUCUCUAUAUACAACCAGAGAUACAGGUUUUCCAUCAAGAGGGGGCCUAUAGAAGUGUUCUUUCCAAUCAAGCUUAUUUACAUAAAAAAGAACAUGACUUGAAAAUAGUAAUAAUGUAGUGGUGGUAAUACACAGAAAUAUGCGAAGAAACCAUGAAGGUAGUGCUUGGAAGACACAGGCAUGCCAAAAACCACAAAGCUGGUGUACAGGUUUCAGUGAAAUGGGGAAAUGCUGUUAUAAAUUUUCAUCUUGGUCUUGUGGCCCGGCCAUGAUUACUUACCUAUUUGCUGACGCAUUAAGCACUACAGUGUGCAUGGAGCAUGGUGUGAGGGUAUGCAAAGGGGCAUCGUGCAUCCGGGAAGCUCAUGGUCUGGCUAGGGGCAUAACAUUUUGACAAGUAAAAUGACAGGGCACAUAUGUAAUAAGUGCCAGGCCUCUCAAACUUGUCCCCUUCUGUGCUGUAUCCCAUUCAUUCUCUGCCAGGUAUCACAGGCUUCUGCAAAAGCAUUCUCCAGACCUCCGUGGCCCUACAGCAUUGAGCUUUCAGUCCUUGGGUUUCUGAAGGUUGGCAGGGUCGAAGGUCCAGGCUGGCUCUUCUCCGUGCAUCUCUUAUCCUUCUUGGACCUGCAGUCUAAACCAGCCAUGUUAGUCUUGUGUAGUGGUGAAGAUACAUGGGACCUCUUAGGGCCUAGGCUGGAAACCUUCACUUAUGCUGAUUCUGUUAGCCUAUUGGCCAACUUCAGGUCAAAGAGAGGGAAAUACACUUGACCCCUUUGGUUGGGGGAGCAGGAAAGUCAUAUGUAGAUACAGGAGAGGUGGAGAAUUGGGGCCAGUCUUGUAAUCCACACAUUAGGCUUAUUUCCCUAUGUAGUCUGUGGGCUCCUGGAGUCAGAAUCACCUUGGAAUCUCCUGCCACCUCUGAUAAGGUGAUGCCUUGACAUUGGAUGCCAACAGACAAGGUCUGUGGGGUGCUUGCAGAUGUGUGGUCUCUGGUGUCAGACUGCCUGGGUUCACUGUGUGGCUUUGGAAGAUCUACCUAACAUCUCUGAUCCACAGUUUUCCCAUCUGCAGAAUGAGGAUUACUUUACUUAUAUUAAUACCCCCUUAGACGAGCAGUUAUGAUGCUGAGAUGAGAUGAAUUCUGUAAAGCGUUUAGCACAGUUCCUGGGACACAGGAAGAUCCUGGUCACCAUGAGCUAGCAUUCGCCUCCUCCUAUCACUGUGGAGAAGUUUUCACCAAAGGCCAUGUCUUGGUGGAUAAGAGCAGGAGGUUCUGAUCUGGUGCAGUUUUGAGGCUCCCAGAUGCCCUUGUCUUCCUUUGGGCCUCAAGAUGCAGGAGGGAGGGCUUUCCUGGUCUGAGCUGCUGGGUGAAAUCAGGCAUCCCUCUAGAACUUCCUCCCUUCACCCUGUACUGCCCUGGAGCUGGUUCAGGAGACUGCUGGCAUGCACCGGGAAGCUCCGCUCAAGGCGUUGCCCCCUGAUUUCCUAGUGGGGGAGCUGGCUUGAGGCAGUCAGAAUACUGAGUUGGGUAAAAGACCCAGGGUCAGAGGCUGAGUCUCAUUCCAGCUGGGACGUGAGGCUGUGGCUGCGCUGAGCUGACCACCAGCCCCUGGGUUCCUUAGGGUUGCCUCUGGGCUCAGGAAGGAAACUGCAUGUAGACACUGAGCUAAGGGAGCACUAGCUGUUUGCUUUGGUUAGUUCUUUCCCCUAAUCCUUGCAAGUAGCUGGUUCUGCUUUGAUGUGAAAUAACAAAAGAUUUAGGGAGAAUUUAUAAUUUAGCUCAUUUUUUUUUAAUGGGAAGGGUGAGUUUUGGAGCACAUUUAAUACCAUGCCAUGUGGGGUAAGCUCAGAGCGUUGCCUGCACUCUCAUUCACCUGGGCUGGCUUUCCCCGCUCGCUUCCCCGUUGGGAGUCUAAUACAGCCUGCCUUUUCCUUAAGAUCAUUACUUCAAACAGUGUUGACAUUUUAAUGUGAUUAUUUUCCUGUAAUAUUUUUCCAGCCCUUUUCUACUUGGGGAGUAUAUUUGCAUCCUUUUUCUUUAGGGAUUUGUGUUGUUCCAGCUCCAUCCUGGUCUGUAGAAUAGAGCUAUGCUCAUAGUAGGUGCAUGGUAAAUAUUGAUUGACUCUUGGGUACGUGAUAGUGACGUCUAGCACCCCUCCUCAUACCUAUUCCCAUGUUCCCAUAAAAAAAUUAAAAUCGAGGGAGAAAAACCCAAAAAAAACAACAAUAAACAAAGAGUUCCAUGAUGGCUUCAGGUUAAAUAGUCUCACCCUGUUGGAAAUUCCUGGAGCAAAUGAGCAAGCCAGUGGGCAGGAGCCCGAGUGUGAGUUCUCAGGAAUAUACAUCACUGAAAGUGAGCCCACACAUUUGUUAAUGAUUGGUCUCUGUGUGGUGUUAAAAAAUUAACUAAUAACAAUUUAUUCCAGAGGAUAUUAGUGUAGAGCAGCUAUUUUCUUAUAGGAAAAGAGGGAUUCCAGUCAUUUUUUUUUUUCUGUUUUGUUGAACUGAUGUUUGCAUCUUGCCUGGUGAAAUCUUUAGCAAGGAGGAGGUGGAAGUUGUUCACUUUAGCACCCAGGGGCUCAGCUAACAUUUCGUGGGGCUGACAUUCUGGGUGCCUGUGCUAGGUGUGGAAGGAGAAUUAAGCGGCUUCUGUCCACAAUUGAGAGUCUGAGUAGAAAAAAGAGGCAUAGCUCACGGCACGUGUCAUUUCUCCCUUCGUCCCUCCUUCCAUCCCUCCCUCUGUCCUUCUUCUUUCUCCUUCCCUUCCAGCAAAUUUAGUGCCUAUGAUAAUGUCAGGGGUGAGGCUGGGCUUGGGGAAUAGCGCAGCAAACCGACCUGUUGCCUCAUCCUCGUGGUAGAUCGUCUGGUGAGUGAUGGGCUUGGAUCACAUCAGCUCAUAGGCGAAUGCCCCAUCCAGCUGUGGGGAGGCUGCCCUGGAGCCCUGCGGGCUUGUGGAGGGGUUGGCAUAUCUGGGGAUCUGAGGGAAGGGUCCAGGGGAGGGCACUUGAGUUAGAGCCAAAAGGUGGCUUCGAAUUAACUAGCCCAGCAGGAAAGGGAAAGGUAUGCUAGGCCGAGAGAUUGGCAGUGCAAAGGCCAGGUGGUGGGGGCAGCUUCGGCUGGAGCCAGAGGCAAGAGAGAAGCAGGAGUAUGGCGGGAUGGGGCUGCAGGGGAGCUGGGAGCCAGACGGUUGGGGCCUCCUGGACUGGGGAGGAGCUUGUCUGCCAUGAGGGAACCAUGGGAUGUCUGAAGAGAGGGAUGUGAGUGUGUGUGUGCGUGAGUGUGUGUGACAGAGACCAAGAGACAGUGUGAUCGGGCACAUUUCCAAGCCGUCACUCUGGCUGGCCACCCCGGGUGGAAAUGGGUCCCAGGAAGGCAGCAGAGUGAGACCAGGGAAGAGGGUGUGGCAGCCACAGAUGGUGGGGCCUGGGCUGGGGUUUGCAGAGCUCAUUCAGAAAAGGGGCUGGGACUACAUUGCCCGGAGGAAGAUCUGUGCAGGAGAGGAGGCUCAAUCUCAGCUUGGAAGGGAAGGGCAGGAGAGGGAAGGGAAGGGUAUGUGCCAUGAGGCACCUACGUGGUGUCUGGGCACCCCAUGGUGCAGCCAAAGGCUCCUCCCAGGAUCCUCAUGCAGGAGCCCUGAAGGCUGUGCAAGAGGUGCUGUCUCACCCUGAGCAGGGCCGAGAGCCUGAGAGGUGCUGUCUCACCCUGAGCAGGGCCGAGAGCCUGAGAGGUGCUGUCUCACCCUGAGCAGGGCUGAGAGCCUGGAACUGUUUAGAGAGAGUCUGGGGCAGUGCAGGAUACUCGGAGAGAUUGCCUGGGGUGCCCUAGGAUGGACUGUGUUUUCUUCUUUAUACAUGAGAAGCUGGAAAAUGGGAGUUGGACGUGGAUUCCGUGGGCAAAGGUUCUUUUCCUGGCACAGUGGAGCAGGGAUGCUGGCAGGGGUGGAUGCUCACUACCUCCUGUGUGCUUUUCCUACUGUGAGCAAAUGUGGAAGGGAGAAUUGCUAUAUGAAGACCCUCCAUGACCCAUAUCCUGUAUAGCCCCCUCCCCUGAGUGUGGCAGGAACCAGUGACUGUGACAGGUUUCGCCUGCAUGCCUAGGCUAUCUUAUAUGCACAGGAGACUUUAAGAAAGUAUAAGCCUUGGUGGCCCUGCCCUAAUCAGGGAAGCCCUAAAGGGGACAAAAUUCUUCCUGGAGAUUGAGACUGGAAGCACAGGAUGGAAGCGGGGGAUGCUGGUUUGAAGAUGGAGGGGACUAUGUGGAAGGGAAUGUGAGUGACCUCUAGGAGCUGAGAGUGGCCCCUGCUGAUGGUCAACAGAGAGAUAGGGAUCUUAGUGCCAUAGCUGCAGGGAUCUGACUCUUGCUAACACCCUGAGUGAGCACGGAAGUAGAGUUUCCCCUUGAGGGAAGAUGAGAAGGCACCCCACUGCUACACUGAUUUCAGCCUUUCGGACCCCGAGCAGAUGAGAAGGCACCUGGGCUGACACACCGAUUUCAGCCUUUGAGACCCCAAGCAGAGGACCCAGUCCUGCCAUGUCCUGACUUCUGACUUACGGAACUAGGAGCUAAUAAGUGGGUGUUAUUUGAAGCCAGUAAGCUUAUGGUUUUGUGUUAUGCAGCAAUAGAAAACUAAUACGGGGAGGGAAGUUUAUUGCUUCCAUAUUACAGGGGAAAGCCUCAGGUUCAGAGAGGUGAAGGGAUCGUCCUGGUCACCUGGCUACCCUGGCGGAGCUGAGAAGCAAAGCUGUGUGGCCAGACUCUGAUGCUCCUGCUGUGUGCUGCCUCGGUUUCCUGAUCUGCGAAAUGGGCUGGUCAUGGCAUUGUCCUGAGGCCGCAGGAGGAGUGGCCUGGAGGCUGUGCCAGCUGUGAAAGUGUCAGGGCCCUUGUGACUGUUUUCACCCUCCCUGUUGGCACACAGGACCUGGAGGGGUGCCCCUCCGAGGCCCUCCCUGGCUUCUCACACUCACCCUAAACCCGGUGUGUUUCCAUGGUUACUGGUGGCUUUACUAGUGUGACUCUCAAGCUGGCCCCAUAGCCACUCCUUUUUAUGUGUAUUUCUAAUUUCCUUUAGAGCAUUUUUAAACUUUUCGCUUUGAAAUAUUUUAGACAUCUAAAAAUGUCACAAAAUAGUAAAAAAAUAACUCCUGCGUACCUUUCACCUAUAUUCCCCAAAUAACAUCCCACUUAACUACAGUAAGUCAUCAAAAAGAAGAAAUUAGCUUUGGUACAAUACAAUUAACUCAUCUACCAACCUUAUCUGAAUUGAGUCCAUUUUUCUGCUAACAUGCUUUUCUAUCCUGUGAUCCACCCAGGAUCCCACGUGGCACGCGGCCAGCAUGUCUCCUUAGCGUCCGCCAAUGUGGAACAGUUCCUUAGUGUCUUCAUAGCCUGAUGCCUUUGAAGAGUGCUUUCAGUUAUUUUGUAGACUGUCCCUAAAUGAGGGGUUGUCUGAUGUUUCCUUCUUUUUAAAUCGAGUAUAUGCGUUUUUGGCACAAAUCCCCCAUAAGCGAUGUCGCUGGAGAUCCCUAGGUCAGUUGGACCAAUCCUGGUGAUGUUGACUGUGGUUGCUCAGCCAGGUGCCUCUGCUCUAAAGUUAACACUUUCUUCCUCUUUGUAAUUCGUCAGCGUUUUGUGGGAAACCUUGAGACUGUCAGACAUCGUUUCUCAUCACACCCUUUCCCACCCUGGGAAUCCUCGCCUGCCAGUUGUCACCAUGGUGCGUGUUCAGGGGUGGCUGUCUUUCCGUCAUUUCUCUUAAAUGUAUUAGUGAGUUCCAUUACUCACUAAUAAGGGAAAGCUUCCCCCACGCUCCCAUGUAUUUAUUCACCUGUUUACUUACACUAGUGUGGACGCCUGCAUGUAUGUUUAUCCUGUGGAGUAGAGUCCACUGCUGUCAUCUUCUUGUUGCUGGAACUGUCCCAGACGUGGCCACUGGGAGCUCCUUCGAGUCGGUGUCUGUGCCAGUGGAGUGCUCCCAUCAUUGUCUGAGCUCUUUCUUGCUUUCUGGCAGCAUAAGACGCUCCAGGCCCCCAGGGCCUCGCCUCUGCUGAGGUGCUUGCUGUGCAGGAUUUGGGAAGGUGCUCUCAGGGGCUGUGGGCUCCCAUGCCUGCUUCCGCCUCAUCCUUGCAGACCCCUGUGCAGGUAGGUUAUUUGUAGGUGAGCACCCCAGUGCACAUAGACUGAUGUAGCCGGGUUCCCCAGGGAGCAGGUGGCAGAGUUGGGGCUUGCCCAGACUCCUGCUCUUGCCCUGUGGAAGGACCUAUGAGUCGGACCCCACACAGGGAUUAGGUGGGGCCAUGCUGGGCAGCCCAUGUCAGCCUGGCACAUCUUGGGGACUGUCCACAGUGUCAGGGCUGGGAGCAUGGUCUUGGCACAUGUAACAUGCCCCGUUUCUCUCUUUCUUCUGGGGUUCAGGCAUAUUUCUGGUCCAUGAUAAGAUCUUUGCCUCCUUCCUGUCUUUCUUGCCCUCGUGGAUGGCCCAGAAUCCUUUGUAGAUUUCCCACAGUGGCCUUUCCCAGGCAGGCACUGGCUGGCAGUGGCAGUCUAGACUUCCUGCCUGCCUCAGUGGCCUUCCCUGAAGGAGCUGUACAAAAGUGACAGGGAGCACAGGCCACUGGCCCCUGGGGAGGUGUGGGGCAUGGUGAGCCACGUCCACCACAUACUGUGUGCCAAGCUGGAAAAGAGUUUGGGGGUGCAGAGGACAAAGGAAGGGAGGUCACCUCUACAGAAUCACAUGGCACUUAAUUUGUCUUUCCUCUUCCCUACCCACUCCCCUCCUUUCUUCCCAGAGACAAGAGGCAGCUCCUGGGAGAAGGCACAGCCUCUGAGACUCACAAGCAGAUCUUUUAAGGUCAACUUUGCCAUCUGUCUUUUAGGCAAUAACCUUCACUACAGCUUUUUCUGCUUAUUUUUGUCGAAAGUCAUUGGGAGAAUGAGUCAUUGCGUGUGUAUGCCUGUGUGUUUGUGCAUAUAUAUAUGUGUGUGUAUGUGCAUGUACAAGUAUGUGUUUGUGUGUGCAGGUGUGCACGUGUGGGUACUUCCCCUGAUUUUUUUUUUUUUGUGACAUAACUUCCCCUCAUUUUUUUGAAAGGCUGAAAGGGACUCAGGGUCAAGGCCAUGGUGCAUCCCUCCUGCAGGGAGCUGGAGCUGGGUGCCUGGAAGCUGGCCUUUGGGUCAGGCUUCAGCCUCAGCCGUACUGACUGUGCCUGGCCAACCUCUGUCAGUCCCUUCAUCAGGCCAUGCUUUAAGGUCCUCCUCUAUAAACUGGGGGCAAUGCUAGUUCCUACUCCUGGGGUGGGUAUGAGUUCCAGAUGAGGCACGUGACCUUUGCAGGAUUUUAACAUUACAGUGACAUAACUGUAAUUUACCUACUGGUAAAUGCUCUGUUCAUGUCAGUUAGUAGAAUAGAAAGUGCUGGCCCUGCUGACACAGCAGCCAUCUCCUGGUUUGCGAUGGACACUAUCUCAGGAGGAGGCUGCCGUGUGCCUGCUGCGAGGGGUGCUCCCUGUUUGCUAGGGAGGCCCAGAGACUGCCCCGGCACCUCGCUGCACACAGAGAGGCCGUGUGUGUCUCUUGACCCUUCAGCUCCACACUGGGAAUGAGGGAGACCAGGGGUUAGAGAUGCCUCGGGACCUGAGCCGGGCACCAGCUCCCAUCUGUCCAUCUGUCCUGGGCUGCUGGGGGAGCCGGCUCUGGCCAGGACUGAUGAUUCCUGGCACCCACCAGGAGAUGCACAUCCUGCUUGAAAGCUGUGAACUGCUAUCCAGAGUGUCUGGGCUUAUCCUGUUGGAGCAAAACCCCUGGGCUAAUAUGUAAUCCCAUUGUGAAAUGUAUUUCAAGGAGGGCUUCUACAAGGAUUCUAAUUUUACAGCAGCUUUAACCAAAAAAAAAAAAAAAAAAAA
RNAcentral lists this long non-coding RNA (9867 nucleotides) under Homo sapiens (human). RNAcentral's name for it is "HSALNT0402110". The record is from RNAcentral. Lineage: Eukaryota; Metazoa; Chordata; Mammalia; Primates; Hominidae.